UCCUACGGGAGGCAGCAGUCGAGAAUAUUCCACAAUAGGCGAAAGCCUGAUGGAGCGACGCCGCGUGCAGGAAGAAGGUUUUCGGAUUGUAAACUGCUUCUAACUGGGAAUAAGCCCGCAAGGGUUGAAGGUACCAGUUGAAUAAGGGGUUGCUAACUCUGUGCCAGCAGCAGCGGUAAUACAGAGACCCCGAGCGUUAUCCGGGUUUAUUGGGCGUAAAGAGCGAGCAGGAGGUUUGGCAAGUUUAAUGUUAAAUCUCAGGGCUUAACCUUGAGGCCGCAUUGAAUACUGCCAGACUAGAGUAUGUUAGAGGCAGAUGGAACAGCCGGUGUAGGGGUGAAAUCCGUUGAUAUCGGCUGGAACACCAAAGGCGAAGGCAGUCUGCUGGGACAUUCCUGACUCUGAGUCGCGAAAGCGUGGGGAGCAAAAAGGAUUAGAUACCCAGUAGUCCAAGCCG
Molecule: ribosomal RNA, 457 nt
Filed under: uncultured bacterium
Lineage: Bacteria
Description: bacterial SSU rRNA
Rfam family: Bacterial small subunit ribosomal RNA
Source: RNAcentral